UACGGAGGGUGCAAGCGUUGCUCGGAAUUAUUGGGCGUAAAGGGCAAGUAGGUGGUCUCAUUUGUCUGGGGUGAAAUCCUUGGGCUUAACUCAAGAAGUGCCCCAGAAACGGUGAGACUAGAGUCCUAGAGAGGGUCGUGGAAUACCCGGUGUAGCGGUGAAAUGCGUAGAGAUCGGGUGGAACACCAGAGGCGAAGGCGGCGACCUGGAUAGGUACUGACACUCAACUGCGAAAGCGUGGGGAGCAAAC
This 250-nucleotide ribosomal RNA is filed under the name uncultured bacterium. RNAcentral's name for it is "partial 16S ribosomal RNA". It matches the Rfam family "Bacterial small subunit ribosomal RNA", at positions 524 to 773 of the family's 1533-position model. The record is from RNAcentral.